AACGAACGCUGGCGGCAUGCCUAACACAUGCAAGUCGAACGAGACCUUCGGGUCUAGUGGCGCACGGGUGCGUAACGCGUGGGAACCUGCCCUUAGGUUCGGCAUAACUCCCCGAAAGGGGUGCUAAUACCGGAUAAUGUCUUUGGACCAAAGAUUUAUCGCCUUUGGAUGGGCCCGCGUUGGAUUAGCUAGUUGGUAGGGUAAAAGCCUACCAAGGCGACGAUCCAUAGCUGGUCUGAGAGGAUGAUCAGCCACACUGGGACUGAGACACGGCCCAGACUCCUACGGGAGGCAGGAGUGGGGAAUAUUGGAAAAUGGGCGAAAGCCUGAUCCAGCAAUGCCGCGUGAGUGAUGAAGGCCUUAGGGUUGUAAAGCUCUUUUACCCGGGAUGAUAAUGACAGUACCGGGAGAAUAAGCGCCGGCUAACUCCGUG
Molecule: ribosomal RNA, 433 nt
Filed under: uncultured bacterium
Lineage: Bacteria
Description: partial 16S ribosomal RNA
Rfam family: Bacterial small subunit ribosomal RNA
Source: RNAcentral